This is a non-coding RNA of Nomascus leucogenys (northern white-cheeked gibbon), 475 nucleotides long. NCBI's taxonomy places the organism in Eukaryota, Metazoa, Chordata, Mammalia, Primates, Hylobatidae. The record is from RefSeq and is a predicted model, not a curated record.
GCCAGCCUGGGCAACAUAGGGAGACCCGGUUUUUAAAAAGUAAUAAAUAAGGCUCCGAAGCGGGCAAUGGGGGCAAGAUGGUUUACAUCUCAAACGCACAAGUGUUGGACAGCUGGAGUCAGUCUCCAUGGAGAUUAUCUUUGAUAACAGAUUUCUUCUGGGGAAUAGCUGAGUUUGUGGUUUUGUUUUUGAAAACUCUGCUUCAGCAAGAUUUGAAAAAGAGAAGAAGCUAUGGAAACUCGUCUGAUUCCAGAUACCAUGAUGAUGGAAGAGGGCCACUGGGAAACCCUCCCGGAAGAAUGGGUCCAAUCAGUCAUCUGGGUGGCCCCAGUCCUCCUCCAAUGGCUGGUGGAUAUGAGGAAGGUAAAUGUCUGCUCUAAGAAGCAACUGGACACGCAUAUUCAUAGCAGAAGGAAACCAUCAAGAAGUGGAGUGCUGACCAUGCUGGAGCAGUAGAUGAAAGUGUGUGUCUAAA